RNAcentral lists this ribosomal RNA (170 nucleotides) under Juncus falcatus var. sitchensis. RNAcentral's name for it is "5.8S ribosomal RNA". It matches the Rfam family "5.8S ribosomal RNA". From Rfam's summary of the family: 5.8S ribosomal RNA (5.8S rRNA) is a component of the large subunit of the eukaryotic ribosome. The record is from RNAcentral. Lineage: Eukaryota; Viridiplantae; Streptophyta; Magnoliopsida; Poales; Juncaceae.
AAUGUUGGAAUGACUCUCGGCAACGGAUAUCUCGGCUCUCGCAUCGAUGAAGAACGCAGCGAAAUGCGAUACGUGGUGUGAAUUGCAGAAUCCCGUGAACCAUCGAGUUUUUGAACGCAAGUUGCGCCCGAGGCCAUCUGGCCGAGGGCACGCUUGCCUGGGCGUCAGUU